This 80-nucleotide transfer RNA is filed under the name Treponema sp. RNAcentral describes it as "tRNA-Tyr". It matches the Rfam family "tRNA". From Rfam's summary of the family: Transfer RNA (tRNA) molecules are approximately 80 nucleotides in length. The record is from RNAcentral. Lineage: Bacteria; Pseudomonadati; Spirochaetota; Spirochaetia; Treponematales; Treponemataceae.
GCAGUGGUCGAGCAACGGUUGCUCAGCGGACUGUAAAUCCGUGGCCUUUGGCGUUGGGGGUUCGAAUCCCUCUCACUGCA